AACAAACGCUGGCGGCGUGCCUAACACAUGCAAGUCGAACGAGAAAGUCGGUUUCGGCCGAUGAGUAAAGUGGCGCACGGGUGAGUAACGCGUGGAUAAUCUACCCUUUAGUCCGGAAUAACUUGCCGAAAGGUGAACUAAUACCGGAUGACAUCCCGGGUUCUCCGGAAACCGGGAUCAAAGAAGGCCUCUGCUUGCAAGCUUUUGCUGAAGGAUGAGUCCGCGUACCAUUAGCUAGUUGGUGGGGUAAUGGCCUACCAAGGUUAUGAUGGUUAGCUGGUCUGAGAGGAUGAUCAGCCACACUGGAACUGAAACACGGUCCAGACUCCUACGGGAGGCAGCAGUGAGGAAUAUUGCGCAAUGGGGGCAACCCUGACGCAGCAACGCCGCGUGAGUGAGGAAGGUUUUCGGAUUGUAAAGCUCUGUCGAGCGGAAAGAAAUGCACGAUGGCUAAUAUCCAUCAUGCUUGACGGUACCGCUAGAGGAAGCACCAGCUAA
RNAcentral lists this ribosomal RNA (498 nucleotides) under uncultured bacterium. Its description in RNAcentral is "bacterial SSU rRNA". It matches the Rfam family "Bacterial small subunit ribosomal RNA", at positions 29 to 500 of the family's 1533-position model. The record is from RNAcentral.